This 1064-nucleotide long non-coding RNA is filed under the name Struthio camelus australis. RNAcentral's name for it is "lncRNA (ENSSCUG00000017162.1)". The record is from RNAcentral. Lineage: Eukaryota; Metazoa; Chordata; Aves; Struthioniformes; Struthionidae.
CCCCUUCUCAACAUAGCCGUUGCUUCUACUUUCUUCCUGCGAAAUACUGACCUCAUGAAUACAAAACAGCAGACGGCGAGUAUCUGAAACAGCCUGAAAAGUAAUUAUUCUCAGAAGUAGAUGCAGUAUAGCACAGUUGUGUAGCUGCCUGCUAGAGCUAGCAACAGAAUAGAGUUGGCUGAGGCUGCAACCGUGUUGGUCUGUCCACCCCUCCACCCAACGGAAGGUGCCAGUCCACACUUGGCUGACCUGGAGCUUGAGGGAAUUCAGGACGUGGCAAUCUUUGCCCAUCAAUACUGACAAAACUGGAGAGGUGUUAGAAGCUGUGCUUAUUACAAAGCAGGGGGUGACUGCCGAUGUCAUCAGGCCUGGAAUGGGCACCACCACGGGGUACCGGAUGCUCGAGCCAUCUGUCCAUGCCUCUCUGCUCUGCUGCUGGCCAGGGAAAGCAUCUGCCCUGCUCCCACCCGGUUCCCCUGACUGCGGAUGUGGACUCGACCCUUAUGGCACGGUCAGAAGAGCAGUUUGACUUUGCUGGCUGAGAAAUCUCCUACCACAUGCCUGUGAGACCUCAUGUUUUGAGUGAGAUGAGAAGAAAUGCCGGCAUCGCCACCUCUGAGAUAUGCUUGCAGGGCGCCUGCGUGGCCAGCGUGACUGCGUGCUGUCCCCAGCUGCAAUGAUGUAAGUGAGACACAGCAGCAGAGAAGGAAGCUGCACAUGUUGCCUGCCCUGCACUUUUCUCUGCCUUUGGCUUGUGCUUGUCUUGUUUUACCUUCAGGGAAGAGGGACUGGACUUGAAAUACAGCAGCCACAACAGCCGCUCCAACCCAUCUCAGCUAACGUCCCUCCUCUCCUAAGAAAAAGGACUCAUGCUGCCCUCUUUAACACCUUCUAAGACUCCCACAGUAGGAUUUGGGCCUUUUAAAAAGUUUCCUCACUAAAGGGAAUAAGGGAUAUUGCUGCAAUAAGAGUCUUAAUAUCAUAGGUUGCAAAUGCAUUAGCUAUUUGCUUUCUUUCUCUGUAUCUUUAAUAAAGGGAUUUAAAGGGUUUUCUUUUUUGAUGGU